RNAcentral lists this antisense RNA (75 nucleotides) under Marinactinospora thermotolerans DSM 45154. RNAcentral describes it as "ASpks TB sRNA". It matches the Rfam family "ASpks TB sRNA". The record is from Rfam by way of RNAcentral. Lineage: Bacteria; Bacillati; Actinomycetota; Actinomycetes; Streptosporangiales; Nocardiopsidaceae.
CUUGAUCGAACCGAGCCACAGGGGUUCCGCGCCGUCUCGGUCACGCCCGUAGGUGGCCAGUAGCGCCUGCGCCUC